AGUGAACGCUGGCGGUAGGCCUAACACAUGCAAGUCGAACGGCAGCACAGUAAGAGCUUGCUCUUACGGGUGGCGAGUGGCGGACGGGUGAGGAAUACAUCGGAAUCUACUUUUUCGUGGGGGAUAACGUAGGGAAACUUACGCUAAUACCGCAUACGACCUACGGGUGAAAGCAGGGGAUCUUCGGACCUUGCGCGAUUGAAUGAGCCGAUGUCGGAUUAGCUAGUUGGCGGGGUAAAGGCCCACCAAGGCGACGAUCCGUAGCUGGUCUGAGAGGAUGAUCAGCCACACUGGAACUGAGACACGGUCCAGACUCCUACGGGAGGCAGCAGUGGGGAAUAUUGGACAAUGGGCGCAAGCCCGACCCAGCCAUACCGCGUGGGUGAAGAAGGUCUUCGGGUCGUAAAGCCCUUUUGUUGGGAAAGAAAAGCAGCAGGUUAAUACCCGGCCGUUCUGACGGUACCUAAAGAAUAAGCACCGGCUAACUUCGUG
This 492-nucleotide ribosomal RNA is filed under the name uncultured bacterium. RNAcentral's name for it is "partial 16S ribosomal RNA". It matches the Rfam family "Bacterial small subunit ribosomal RNA", at positions 29 to 507 of the family's 1533-position model. The record is from RNAcentral.